This 554-nucleotide long non-coding RNA is filed under the name Danio rerio (zebrafish). RNAcentral's name for it is "lncRNA si:dkey-82f1.1 (ENSDARG00000096850.3)". Lineage: Eukaryota; Metazoa; Chordata; Actinopteri; Cypriniformes; Danionidae. The record is from RNAcentral.
GGGGGGUUUGGAGGAGGAGAAACUCUCCGAUGGGAAAGAGAAAGAGGAGGAGGAGGAGGGUGGGAAUCUGGGAAAGCAGAAUGAGAGAGCGGAGGAAGGCUGAUAAAGUUUUCCUGCAGCUGGAGUUUGAGUCGGUCACAGACUGCUUUUCUUCUGCUCGCAGCACACAAACGGAGGAUUUAAAGAGCUGGAGCAGAGGAGCAGACAGCAGAAGGAAUAGCAGAGAGGAUCAUGAGUGUGGAUGCCGUCUUUCCUGGGCUCAGAUUUCACAAAAUGAGAGACCACUGCACUACUGCAGGGCGCAUGCAACAGAGCAAGGAUGCCAUCUGCUAGCACCAUGACUGGCGGGAGAGCAUUGCUGCUCUGUACAAACACAGAGGACUGCAUCUACCAAUCAGCAAACGGGUAUGUACAGUACACUUAAACAAAAAGUUCAACCAAAAAUAAAAAGAACCCAAUAAUCUACUCAUCAUUAAACCAUCUUUGAUGUAUAUUAUUUUCUACUAUCAGACAAACAGAGUCGGAGUAGGUUUUAAUCGUAUCCUGGUUCUUGG